AGGAGAGUUUGAUCCUGGCUCAGGAUGAACGCUAGCGGCAGGCUUAACACAUGCAAGUCGAGGGGCAGCGCGGGGUAGCAAUACUCUGGCGGCGACCGGCGGAAGGGUGCGUAACGCGUGAGCAACAUGCCCGUGGCAGGGGGAUAAGCGAUGGAAACGUCGUCUAAGACCCCGUAACAACAGGGUUCGCAUGGACUUUGUUUGAAAGCUUCGGCGGCCACGGAUUGGCUCGCGUCCCAUUAGGCAGUUGGCGGGGUAACGGCCCACCAAACCGACGAUGGGUAGGGGUUCUGAGAGGAAGGUCCCCCACAAUGGAACUGAGACACGGUCCAUACUCCUACGGGAGGCAGCAGUGAGGAAUAUUGGUCAAUGGGCGGAAGCCUGAACCAGCCAUGCCGCGUGCAGGAAUAAGGCCCUACGGGUCGUAAACUGCUUUUGUACGGGAGCAAUAAGGGUCACGAGUGGCCUGAUGAGAGUACCGUACGAAUAAGCAUCGGCUAACUCCGUGCCAGCAGCCGCGGUAAUACGGAGGAUGCGAGCGUUAUCCGGAUUCAUUGGGUUUAAAGGGUGCGUAGGCGGCGUGCCAAGUCAGGGGUGAAAGGUUCCGGCUCAACUGGGACAGUGCCUUUGAUACUGGUGUGCUGGAGUGCGCUUGCCGUGGGAGGAAUGAGUGGUGUAGCGGUGAAAUGCUUAGAUAUCACUCAGAACACCGAUUGCGAAGGCAUCUCACGAAGGCGUAACUGACGCUGAGGCACGAAAGCGUGGGGAUCAAACAGGAUUAGAUACCCUGGUAGUCCCCU
This 800-nucleotide ribosomal RNA is filed under the name uncultured Bacteroidota bacterium. RNAcentral describes it as "bacterial SSU rRNA". It matches the Rfam family "Bacterial small subunit ribosomal RNA", at positions 1 to 799 of the family's 1533-position model. Lineage: Bacteria; Pseudomonadati; Bacteroidota. The record is from RNAcentral.